UACGAAGGGGGCGAGCGUUGUUCGGAAUUACUGGGCGUAAAGGGCGCGUAGGCGGCCGAUCAAGUCAGAUGUGAAAGUCCUGGGCUUAACCUGGGGACUGCAUUUGAUACUGAUUGGCUUGAAUGCAGGAGAGGAUAGCGGAAUUCCCAGUGUAGAGGUGAAAUUCGUAGAUAUUGGGAAGAACACCGGUGGCGAAGGCGGCUAUCUGGACUGUGAUUGACGCUGAGGCGCGAAAGCGUGGGGAG
RNAcentral lists this ribosomal RNA (245 nucleotides) under uncultured bacterium. RNAcentral's name for it is "partial 16S ribosomal RNA". It matches the Rfam family "Bacterial small subunit ribosomal RNA", at positions 524 to 768 of the family's 1533-position model. The record is from RNAcentral.